CGUGUUUUAGUUGGUUUACGAUAUGCAACCACACGGAGUAGUAAAUUGUCAAGUUGGCUUUGUCAAGUUGGCUAGUUGCCAACUUGUCUAUUUGCCUACUGCAAAUAUACCCAAUAUCUUGGCUAGACCUCUAUAGCCUAACUUAUAAAUUAAAGGCUUGAAAUCGAAAAUGGCGGACCGUUGCACAUACAGAAAACUAUGAAGGCGCGGCGGGACUAUGAUUUUAACACACGAAGGACAGGACAUACAUUAAUACUUGAGAAAUUAAGUAAAUAUCGUUCAAGCAUUGGUAAUCUUUAGUUCGAUUUGUGGCGACGUUUGGAAAUCAACUUGAGUCCUAUUCGAUCAACUGGAAUGUAGACUAUCGCAUGAGGACGUGAAGAGUUGGCCAGGCGUUUAAUAUGGAUCCAUUUAGACAUCACCUACGGGCUGAGAGUAUCACAUGGCUGCACCUUUCAACUACAGAGGCUUGGCAUGUAACAGCAAUUAAACCUUUUAACAACACACAAGCAUUCUGGAGGGUGAAAAUAAUCAUCAGUGAAGUCGCAGAGGAGUUGUCACUUUUAAUUGAAAACCUGGCAUUGUCUGUUAGGAAACUGCAAGCAAUGAAGGGCAUCGAAUGUCAAAUCACUGAAAGUAUGAGGAUUGUUGCACAUGAAACUGGAAAUGAUAUCAAACAUAUAUUUUAAUUUACAAGUGAAAGUUUUGCAAAAUGUGGUAUUAUUUGGUGCAGAUCAUCAUGAUUAUAAAACAACAAUAAUGGUAUAUUCCACACAGUCAUUUCAAGUGCUCAUUUUUCUAGCAAUUAGUAUGCUGAAAAAAUAUUGAAACUUAAAGAAAUUGAAUGGGAUGAAGACAUCAAAGAAAAUUGAAAACUCUUCUAAUCUGAACAAAGAACGGAUAUUACAGUUCAGUGGAAGAUUUACAGAAUAUGAAGGAAGCAAAUUAGGCACAGUGUUUCAACAUAAUGUGAAGUGUUAUAAAUGUUCCAUGACUUAGUAUACAUACAUGUAAUGAGUGAUAAGUUACUAAAAAGUGUUGUUAAUAGUUCCAUGUGCAAAAAGUGCUGGUGUUAGGUGUUGAGGUUGUGAUGAUGGUUAUGUAAUAAUUCUGGAUAAAUUAUUAUUGGACUAUCGUCUUUGGUAAGUUAUCUUCAGUUAUUAGAACUUUUGCUUGACAAAUAUGACAUCUUAUUUGAAUUUAAAGGGUAAUUCAUUAGACCAAAUCUUGAUUAUCUUGAUUAGAGUAACUGAAAAUAAAAUUUGUAUUGAUCAAUUCUUUGAAAAGGAAUGAAGAAAUGGAAGAGGGAGGUGCUUACAAUUUGAAUAUUUGAUGGAGGUGCUUACAAUUUGAAUAUUUGAUGGAGGUGCUUACAAUUUGAAUAUUUGAUGGAGGUGCUUACAAUUUGAAUAUUUGAUGGAGGUGCUUACAAUUUGAAUAUUGUAUUAAGUAAAGGAGCUGAAAACUUAAAGGACCUGUUUCAUGACUGACUAACUUACAAUCUGCCAUGCAACCUUUCACAUUAAAUUUGCAAGUUUGGCAAAAGCUGUUCUUUUUUUACCAAUCUGAGAUGCAGCACUGAUAUACAGAAAUAAUAUUACUUUUAGUUCUUUGGUAUAAAUUUGUCAAAGACCCAAUUUAAGAUUAGUUAAGGGGACAUUGCGUGAUUAAGUUAUUAAUUUUAGGGGAUACAGCCUACAACAAUAAAACUAAGAAGAAGGAAACCUUGACAUGUUAAAGAAAAUUGUAAGUAAAAUUGACUACAGCCAAAUAGGCAAUAACUUGUUGUACUAGUACUACAAACAUGUUGAGUGAAGAGAGCUCUGCUCUAAACAUACUGGCAUUUUCUUGUCACAGCCAAACAUAAUAGGAAAAUACAAACAAGCAAAAUUGACCUACGAACAAAUAACACCAUAUUUUAAUUAGUCCCCUACCAGUGAAACAAUAUGGAGAUUAUGCACGUCAUUUCAUUUCAUCAUGAAUGAUGGAUA
Dreissena polymorpha is the source of this 1991-nucleotide long non-coding RNA. RefSeq lists it as uncharacterized. The record is from RefSeq and is a predicted model, not a curated record. NCBI's taxonomy places the organism in Eukaryota, Metazoa, Mollusca, Bivalvia, Myida, Dreissenidae. The transcript has 4 exons.